Molecule: long non-coding RNA, 448 nt
Filed under: Bos taurus (domestic cattle)
Lineage: Eukaryota; Metazoa; Chordata; Mammalia; Artiodactyla; Bovidae
Description: long non-coding RNA NONBTAT020183
Source: RNAcentral
GAUGGGUCCGAGCAACCCAGAAAGUGAUGUCCUAGCAACCAAAUAAAAGCGUGUCUAAGAAAGAGCCAUCAAUACUAAUCAAGUGCUCUUGGGGUACAGUAGGCCCAUGUUUUUUUGUGGAGUCAAGAAUUACAGCCACACACUACUCCAUACUGACUGCUAUUGACUUGUAAUGUACCAUCCCUCUGUUCAGAAGCCUUUGAUGACUCCCCUUUGCCUGCAUAAGUCAAGUCCAAGACUGGGAAUUUAUAUUUUAAUAUGACUGUGAGCCAAACUGCACAGCAUUUUACAAGUCUCCAGGAAGCUCUGCAAUGUUUACAUCUCCUUAUUUACUCAUUCUGUUCACAUUCCUCUAUGUGUGGAAUGCCACUCUGUCCCUCUUUGCCUAUGGAAAUCUUGGCAGUCCUUUAGGGGCUAAUUCUGAUACCCUCCUCUCCAUAAAUACUUU